RNAcentral lists this unclassified non-coding RNA (402 nucleotides) under soil metagenome. Its description in RNAcentral is "partial contains 5.8S ribosomal RNA, internal transcribed spacer 2, and large subunit ribosomal RNA". The stretch from base 1 to 121 matches the Rfam family "5.8S ribosomal RNA", at positions 35 to 154 of the family's 154-position model. The record is from RNAcentral.
GAUGAAGAACGUAGCGAAAUGCGAUAAGUAAUGUGAAUUGCAGAAUUCAGUGAAUCAUCGAAUCUUUGAACGCACCUUGCGCCCUUUGGCUAUUCCGAAGGGCAUGCCUGUUUGAGUAUCAUGAACACCUCAACUCUCAUGGUUUGCCAUGAUGAGCUUGGACUCUGGGGGUCUUGCUGGCCUAUGGUCAGCUCCUCUCAAAUAAAUCAGCUUGCCAGUGUUUGGUGACAUCACAGGUGUGAUAACUAUCUACGCUUGUGGUUUUCCAUCAGGUAACCUUCAGUGAUGGAGGUUCGCUGGAGCUCAUAAAUGUCCCUCCUCAGCGAGGACAGCUUUUUGAACGUUUGAUCUCAAAUCAGGUAGGACUACCCGCUGAACUUAAGCAUAUCAAUAAGCGGAGGA